CUACGGGUUGCUGCAGUGAGGAAUAUUGCACAAUGGGGGGAACCCUGAUGCAGCAACGCCGCGUGGAGGAUGACGCAUUUCGGUGUGUAAACUCCUUUUAUAUGUCAAGAAAAUGACGGUAGCAUAUGAAUAAGCACCGGCUAACUGCCGUGCCAGCAGCCGCGGUAAGACGGAGGGUGCAAGCGUUACUCGGAAUCACUGGGCGUAAAGGACGCGUAGGCGGGUUGGAAAGUCAGGUGUGAAAUCCUACAGCUUAACUGUAGAACUGCACUUGAAACUUCUAAUCUAGAGUAUGGGAGGGGAGAUGGAAUUAGUGGUGUAGUGGUAAAAUCCGUAGAUAUCACUAGGAAUACCUAAAGCGAAGGCGAUCUCCUGGAACAUUACUGACGCUAAGGCGUGAAAGCGUGGGGAGCAAACAGGAUUAGAUACCCCUGUAGUC
Molecule: ribosomal RNA, 439 nt
Filed under: uncultured bacterium
Lineage: Bacteria
Description: partial 16S ribosomal RNA
Rfam family: Bacterial small subunit ribosomal RNA
Source: RNAcentral